GUAUUUGUUCGUCGUAAACGAUAAGACAUGCAUAUAAGACUGGAUUGUAAUGGAGAGAGGAGCGAGACCCCGGCCUCACACGAAUGUAAGACUGCUCCUAAUGGGGAGCCUCGACCUAUAGUGCACAAGUGUAUGUGGGAUGAAAUGCGAGCGGCGUGCACUUGCCCCUUUGAAAGGGCCAGCAACAACCAUCUCUAAUGCUUUCGAUAAUGAUCCUUCCGCAGGUUCACCUACGGAAA
This 239-nucleotide unclassified non-coding RNA is filed under the name uncultured fungus. RNAcentral describes it as "sequence contains ITS1". The record is from RNAcentral. Lineage: Eukaryota; Fungi.